AGCUGGCAACCUCCCCGCUGCCUCAGGUUUCCCAGUUGUGCCAGUUGUAUUUGGUUACAGAUCCCUGUGUUUGCAGUAUUUCCUGUUCCUUCCUUUUGGCUGCGAGAAGAAAGUGUGCCGAAAUUCUGACCUAGUAAAGCUCUUAUGCUUGGAACUUCAACACUUUAUUUUUGGAGGCUAUGAAAUUGAAGGAUUGGUGAAGCGCACUGCCUCUCAACUUGGAGUAGGGCCCACAGUGUUGAAAGGUAGAAAUCUUCAUGGGCGGAAUUUCUGAAGAUGUGGGCACGCAUAUUAAUGCAUAGCUGAUUUAAGAAAGCCAGAAUACCUUUCAUUUUGAGGAUCUGUACAAAGAAAAAAAAAAUCGCCAGAAUAAGCUUGGCACAAGGAAA
Molecule: long non-coding RNA, 389 nt
Organism: Grus americana (Whooping crane)
Lineage: Eukaryota; Metazoa; Chordata; Aves; Gruiformes; Gruidae
Exons: 3
Source: RefSeq, a predicted model, not a curated record